Molecule: ribosomal RNA, 110 nt
Filed under: Phycisphaerae bacterium
Lineage: Bacteria; Pseudomonadati; Planctomycetota; Phycisphaerae
Source: RNAcentral
UCUGGUGCGUAUACGUCAGGGGAAACACCGCUUCCCAUUCCGAACAGCGCCGUGAAGCUCUGACGGCCGAUGGUAGUGCACACCUGUGCGAGAGUAGGUGAGCGCCAGAU